GACGAACGCUGGCGGCGUGCUUAACACAUGCAAGUCGAACGGAAAGGCCCUGCUUUUGUGGGGUGCUCGAGUGGCGAACGGGUGAGUAACACGUGAGUAACCUGCCCUUGACUUUGGGAUAACUUCAGGAAACUGGGGCUAAUACCGGAUAGGAGCUCCUGCUGCAUGGUGGGGGUUGGAAAGUUUCGGCGGUUGGGGAUGGACUCGCGGCUUAUCAGCUUGUUGGUGGGGUAGUGGCUUACCAAGGCUUUGACGGGUAGCCGGCCGGAGAGGGGGGCCGGCCACAUUGGGACGACGCUUCCGCCAGGCCUCCGACGGGAGGCAUGAGCGAGGGGUGGUGCACAGUGGGCGCGACGCUGAUUCGGCGACGCCGCCUGCGGGAUGACGGCCUUCGGUUUGUAGCGCGCAUUCGCCUGGGUCGGAACGUGGGUGACGGUAGUGGGUGAAGAAGCACCGGCUAACUACGUG
RNAcentral lists this ribosomal RNA (468 nucleotides) under uncultured bacterium. Its description in RNAcentral is "partial 16S ribosomal RNA". It matches the Rfam family "Bacterial small subunit ribosomal RNA", at positions 28 to 507 of the family's 1533-position model. The record is from RNAcentral.